UGCCUGCCUGAGCGUUCCUGCCUGCCUGAGACUUCUCCUCCCGCCUCGCCUGGCCUGGAUAGAUUCUGCAGCAGGAGCCCCUGGUGCUCUGUUCCAAGGGACUGCUACACCUAUUAACACCUUUUGUGCAGACCUGAAUACCUCUUUACGAUUCUCCUACAGCUUCUGAGAGUGAGCGAGAGCAUGGGCCGCUGGACCAAGUCAGCCUGACUGUCUGGAGAUUGCUCAACCUCCAUGCAGUCUGGAGCACAAAUCUCUGCAUGAAUACACUCCAGUAUGGUAAUGAGAAAAACUCCGUCUGCAGCGGAGUAGAUUAAAAUGUGCACAGUCCUCAGUUGCUUCAAGAUCAUGCAAGACUCAAGAGAAGCUACUAAAUAGAUGAACUUUUGGUAAACUUUCACUUUCUUAGUGAACUAGGGAAGUUUAGGAAAUCUUUUGUCCUCUUUAUAACAAACUCCCAAAGUGGGAAGGGAAAAUGGAAAAGUUCAAUUAUUCCUGAAAACAGGAAUUUGUUUUUGUUUUUAAACCAAGCAUACAGACACUUGAACCCUUACCUCCUUCCCUACCUAGUCUCUUAUUUUCCUUUCAGAUUGAGCUAGCUCACUUUUCUCUGUACACCAGUGUGGGAACGGAGUGUAGAAGAAUAAUAACAGAUGGAUUGUGACCUUGGUUCUCACAAGCAGCUGGGUAACUUAUCUCAGAAAGGACAGAUAACGGACACCUCGUGAAUGAGGAAAACAAGGUGUGGUUUAUGCUGAUGGAAUGGGUUGUCCUUGACUAUGCUAAUGUGUAGGUGUGUGCCUUAUGCCUUGAGGGUAUAUAUUGAGAGCCGAAAUGAUCAAUAAAUGUCUCUGGCAUAAUUCA
This is a long non-coding RNA of Pogoniulus pusillus (Red-fronted tinkerbird), 864 nucleotides long. RefSeq lists it as uncharacterized. The record is from RefSeq and is a predicted model, not a curated record. The transcript has 2 exons. NCBI's taxonomy places the organism in Eukaryota, Metazoa, Chordata, Aves, Piciformes, Lybiidae.